Molecule: ribosomal RNA, 624 nt
Filed under: uncultured bacterium
Lineage: Bacteria
Description: bacterial SSU rRNA
Rfam family: Bacterial small subunit ribosomal RNA (bases 1-524)
Source: RNAcentral
CCUACGGGAGGCAGCAGUGGGGAAUAUUGCACAAUGGGCGAAAGCCUGAUGCAGCGACGCCGCGUGAGGGAUGACGGCCUUCGGGUUGUAAACCUCUUUCAGCAGGGAAGAAGCGAAAGUGACGGUACCUGCAGAAGAAGCGCCGGCUAACUACGUGCCAGCAGCCGCGGUAAUACGUAGGGCGCAAGCGUUGUCCGGGAUUAUUGGGCGUAAAGAGCUCGUAGGCGGCUUGUCACGUCGGAUGUGAAAGUCCGGGGCUUAACCCCGGGUCUGCAUUCGAUACGGGCUAGCUAGAGUGUGGUAGGGGAGAUCGGAAUUCCUGGUGUAGCGGUGAAAUGCGCAGAUAUCAGGAGGAACACCGGUGGCGAAGGCGGAUCUCUGGGCCAUUACUGACGCUGAGGAGCGAAAGCGUGGGGAGCGAACAGGAUUAGAUACCCUGGUAGUCCACGCCGUAAACGUUGGGAACUAGGUGUUGGCGACAUCCACGUCGUCGGUGCGCNGCUACGACAUUAACGUUACCCGUCCGUCGGGAGGUACGGCCGGCGACGGACGUAAACGUUAAACGUAGUAAGUUAGUACGGUUCGUUGUAGACGUUGCCGACGGCGACGACGAGGGAGGUUAGG